UACGUAGGGGGCAAGCGUUAUCCGGAUUUACUGGGUGUAAAGGGAGCGUAGACGGCACUGCAAGUCUGGAGUGAAAGCCCGAGGCCCAACCCCCGGACUGCUCUGGAAACUAUGUGACUGGAGUGCAGGAGAGGUGAGCGGAAUUCCUAGUGUAGCGGUGAAAUGCGUAGAUAUUAGGAGGAACACCAGUGGCGAAGGCGGCUCACUGGACUGUAACUGACGUUGAGGCUCGAAAGCGUGGGGAGCAAACAGG
This 253-nucleotide ribosomal RNA is filed under the name uncultured Eubacteriales bacterium. RNAcentral describes it as "uncultured Clostridiales bacterium partial 16S ribosomal RNA". It matches the Rfam family "Bacterial small subunit ribosomal RNA", at positions 524 to 776 of the family's 1533-position model. Lineage: Bacteria; Bacillati; Bacillota; Clostridia; Eubacteriales. The record is from RNAcentral.